This 1024-nucleotide long non-coding RNA is filed under the name Apteryx owenii (little spotted kiwi). RNAcentral describes it as "lncRNA (ENSAOWG00000003453.1)". Lineage: Eukaryota; Metazoa; Chordata; Aves; Apterygiformes; Apterygidae. The record is from RNAcentral.
GCGCGUGGGGGCGCGGGAGCGGGCGAAGGCGGUGGCGGGGGUUCGCAGCGCUCUGCCCCCCUGCCCGCAGCGACCCGUCCCAGAGCGACCCCAGCACCAAGGACUUCUGGCUGAACAUGGCAGCGCUGACGGGGCACCUGCAGAAGCAGGCGGAGCAGAGCCCGGCGGCCUCCUACUACAACGUGGCGCUCCUCAAGUACCAGGUGAGCCCCGGGGAAAGGGCCAGGACUCCUGGGUCCCCCCCCGGGGGGGCGGCGGGGGUUCGGUCCCCGCUGAGGCUGCCGGUUGCCCCCGCAGUUCUCCAAGCUGGGCCCGGGCUCGGCGCCGCUGCAGCUCUGCGUGCGCUGGGACUGCUCGCCGGGCGCCACGCGGGUCAGCGUGGAGUACAGCUACAACGCCGGCGCCCUCGCCGUGCCCGUGCCCCUCGCCAACGUCCAGGUGCUGCUGCCCGUGGAGGAGCCCGUCACCAACGUGCGGCUGCAGCCCGCGGCCAGCUGGCUGCGGCCGGCUCUCGGCCAGCUGGGAGCCCCUCUACGGGCCCAGCAAGCCCAGCCCCGUGGCGGCCCAGUUCACCAGCGAGGGCAGCACGCUGUCGGGCGUCGAGGUGGAGCUGGCGAGCGCCGGCUACCGCAUGUCGCUGGUCAAGAAGAGGUUUGCCACAGGGAUUUACCUGGCUGGGUCCUGAGCAUCGCCUGCCCCUCGGAUCCUCCGAGCUCCUCCGGGCUUUCCCGUGGUGGUUUGAACUCAAAACACUGGCUGGAGGCUGGCCGGGCAGGGGGUGCUGCCGGCCACCACCGGGGCCCUGGCGAAGGCCCCGGCAUUGCGCUGGCCGGGUAAGAGCCCUCCUCCUCCUCCUCCUCCUCUUCCUCCUGGCUCCCCUCCGUGGUCGCCUUGGCUGUAACCGUCGUCUCCUGCUGGCUGGAGGAUGGUCCCCCCCGUCCUCCUCUGUGCUGUGAAGGGAGCAGGAGCUGCUCUUUUAUUAAACACUUUAUUUUCUAAUAACCCCCCCUCCCGCCGGCUCCUG